AAAAAAAAAAAAAAUAACUUUUACUAGAAAUUUUGCUACGUACAGUAUAUCAGAUGCGCGUCAUAAAUUUGAAGAUAUUCUCCUCUGAAGCAAAACAUGCGAAUCACUUAGCAUAGAAGGAAAAACAUUAAGGGAAAAAACCAAACGUUUUAAAUUUAAUUUAAUGCUACUCGUAUUUUUCAUUUGACUUUCCUCCCACAACUGUUCAUUUAAUAAACCUAUUUACCAUACAAAGUCAUAAUCUUCCGUCUUGUAAUUUUUCAAAUUUAACAAUCUUCAUGUCUGACCUGAAAACACCCAAUGAUACCUCUUUUACGUAACAAAUAGGUUUGCUUUACUUAAAGUGAUUAAGACACAAGAUAAGGAUUGAAGGAAACUGAGAGAGCAAUUGUUCUCUGACCAUUCCAUCAACGUCUUGAGGUUCUCACUUCUACUGGAACAAAAGAGAGUUGGUCUGAGCACGUACUGCAGACGACAGCUCCAUACAGACAACCAAUAAACAGGUAUUAGCAAGACAUCAAAGGGAAGGAAAAGAAAUAUUGGUCACCUGUGGUGGUACAUUGUGUUAAGAUGUUGCUUCUUUAAUGUGGUUGACAGUAUUAUUGUCCAUACUAAUGUUCCCAUUUUUGGAUGUAGCGGUACCACAAAGGAAGUCGCAUUUCUUUUUUUCGUGUUUCUACAUUUAUUUAAGUAGGAUACAGGAAGGGGAUGGAAUCAAAAAGCGGAGUUGGCACAUUAAUUUUUUUUGACUUUAUUAAAUUAGCCAUUUUUUAUACACCCAGCCAAACCCAUACAGACGAUUCAUCUGUUCUUUUUUUUUUAGAAGGUGUUUCAGUCCACUCGCCCUCUAUUACGGUUACUACACCUGGAGUUAUGAUGAGUUCACCAUCGUCCACCACAUGUUUAGUUCCCCGAGGGCCUCACCACUAUUUACUCCCUGCAACUAAGAGAUCCCCGAAGGGAGGGAAUAGCGUCUCGUCUGCCAUCUGACGCCGUAUUUCGACCACUCCUAUUCCUUCCUUACCACUUAUUCUUACAUCCUUAUACGAUAGCACCCCACCUACAUCGGUCAUUUGCACCUAUUGUCAGGAUCUUAAUUUGGGUCAUAGACAACCCUCAUCCGGGCGAAAGGCUAAUUGGUAGUAUGCUCUGUUGAAUCCAGACUAUACAGUAGAAGCCUCCGAGGUGAGACCUCACCUGUUGGAUGUAAAAUUAGUGUAUUGAAAUUCUCUAGUGUGGAGUACGGAAGUGGCACGUUUGAAAUUUAGGAUAAACCACCUCUUUGUAUUCUUUAAGUAGCCAGAUGGGCAUACGUAUAUAUAUAUACAUAUAUGGCAUGUACUUAAUCAUUUUUUGAAGGAAGAAUACGUGAAUGAGAACUCGGUUCCGAAU
This 1392-nucleotide long non-coding RNA is filed under the name Androctonus crassicauda. Lineage: Eukaryota; Metazoa; Arthropoda; Arachnida; Scorpiones; Buthidae. The record is from RNAcentral.